AGACGCUACGGACUUAAAUCCGUCGACUUUAGAAAUCGUGAGGGUUCAAGUCCCUCUAUCCC
This 62-nucleotide transfer RNA is filed under the name Faidherbia albida. RNAcentral describes it as "partial tRNA-Leu". The record is from RNAcentral. Lineage: Eukaryota; Viridiplantae; Streptophyta; Magnoliopsida; Fabales; Fabaceae.